GUUUAACUUGAUAUUUUUAGGUUAGGGUUCACCUUCAUAUUAUUACAACAACAAACAAUAGAACAAUACCAAAAAUGUUGGUUUAAAAACGUCUACAGUAAUUUGUGAUAUAAUUAUUUAAUAUUUGAAAUCUAGUGCAUUAUAAUAAUUGGGAAUGAAGUAAUGAAAGUUGAGAAACGUACGGAGUGAGUGUUCUACAAAUUGUAGUUCAGGAAGGAAAUGAUUGCAUGUAGUGUAUAAAACGCUUAUUCAGAAUUGGAGAACUUGCAACAAAGAGCUCAGCAUGUAUAAAGGUAAAAUGACACCUCAUAAAAAUCAAUAUAUGGGAUUUGAAGCUACUUCAAAAUUUGCAGGCACCAUUGCCCAAAAAAUCAAAGAAAUGGAAGAAAAAACGGAGGCGUUUAAAGAGAGUUUCCAAGCUAAACUUUCAACUCGUCUGGGAGAACAACGUGAUGAAACUCGUGAUAAGCCUGUGGCUCUCAGCGAUACAUACCAAUCAGUUCAUUCUAAAAGGAAGUCAACCAGGAACGAUUUCGAAAACUUCAAGAUUAAUCGCUUUCAAAGAAUUGAAAGCCAUGUUGCUAAAGUUACAGAAGCUAGACGGUAUAUGUUGCACAAGAUUAAAAUUUUAGAAAAACGUAAUGGACAAAAAGAUAUCUCUAAAAUUAUUAUUGAUAAUACUAUUUCAGCAGUGAGAAUGCAGCAUGAAAAUGAAGUGGCUAUUGAAAUAAACAAAUCAAAAACAGUACCAGUCCGCUCACCAAAAAAGAAAUCAGUCAUAAGGUAUAAGUUGUAUCCAUUGAGAAUAAGAAUCACACCUAAUCAAUAAAGUGUUUACACGUUUACCUUCGUUAUUCUAGGAAUAAACCUUUGAAGUCUCCUGAAUCGUACGAACAGAAGCUAUCACUGAUAUUAAAUUUACGUGAACCGGAACAUAAAUUGUAUUAUAUCCAUAACAUUAUUUCAUUUGUCCUGUUACUUGACUUGGAUCCGAACUGGAACUGUGUUGUUUCCGAUGGGGUUUUCAGUUGAUUAUAUCUUUGAUGCUACAAUGUAGGUUUUCAUUACAUAUCUGAACACAUAUGCAACAAACUAAAGCUUAUGUAUGGACGGAUAUUUCAAAUUGUACGUUGCUACGUCAUCAUAACUUGGAACUAUUGCAACGCUGGAAGACAAUUGUUGAAAAACAAUCUGGAAAUGACACUACAAAUUGUUAUUGGACGAACUGUGAGUAAGAACAUUGUUACUGGGAAUAAAUAAUUUGUGUUUAAUCCUAAAUCAAUUAUACUGUGCUCAACAUGAAACUGUAAAUAGUUCUCAGUGUUCAAAUUAUUACUAAGUACGGUACUACUGAAGUAUUGAAUAGUAUAUAAAAUAAAAUGUGUUGAAUGACAUGUUAGAUUCAAUAGUUAAUUGUUUACAUCCUUUCAAAUUAAAAUUUAUUUCUCAAAAAACAUACACAAUUAUAAUAAUAUAAUAUCUAAAAAAUAAUACAAGAAAAAUACUAAUAAAUAUAUAAAAUGAU
Molecule: long non-coding RNA, 1525 nt
Organism: Nilaparvata lugens (brown planthopper)
Lineage: Eukaryota; Metazoa; Arthropoda; Insecta; Hemiptera; Delphacidae
Exons: 2
Source: RefSeq, a predicted model, not a curated record